This 543-nucleotide long non-coding RNA is filed under the name Sander lucioperca (pikeperch). RNAcentral describes it as "lncRNA (ENSSLUG00000013286.1)". Lineage: Eukaryota; Metazoa; Chordata; Actinopteri; Perciformes; Percidae. The record is from RNAcentral.
CCUUUUUGUCGUUUUGAGGAUCAGGACAGAUUUGGACAUUUGAGACUUUUGAAUUGGACUUGGACUGCUUUCCACUUCUGAUCACUAACUGCUCCACCUCAGCAACCCAACACAUGAGAAGCGGGAAAGAGGAUGUUUUGAAUGAAUCGACGCCACAGUGCUCAGCAGAAGACGUCAGCAAUAGCAGCACUACCAGCUGAGAGGAAUACACACACACAGGCACCACUGAGAGGAGCAGAGCAGAGCACAGUAUCACAGACCUGCAGCUAACAUGUUGGGCCAACCAGGACAGUCAACCUUACACGUCCCUUACAAGAGGCAGCCAGUGUAUCGUGCGACUGAAAGCCACAACCUGAGAACUGCAUCGUUUCGGCACCCUGUGACCGGACAGAUAUCCCCUGAAAACACAGAAUACACACUACAAGACAGGUGAGUGGUUUUUUUUUCUUCCCUGGGAAUGAUGCAUAUACUGCAUGCUUAAAUGUACAGAUUCAGUUAAUUCAAGGUUAUGCGUUUGGAUUCUACAAAUAGACUGGAGAAUAG